CCUGGAAACAGAUGCUAAUACCGGAUAACAACAGAUGAUGCCUAUCAACUGUUUAAAAGAUGGUUCUGCUAUCACUCUUGGAUGGACCUGCGGUGCAUUAGCUAGUUGGUAGGGUAACGGCCUACCAAGGCGAUGAUGCAUAGCCGAGUUGAGAGACUGAUCGGCCACAUUGGGACUGANACACGGCCCAAACUCCUACGGGAGGCAGCAGGU
Molecule: ribosomal RNA, 213 nt
Filed under: uncultured Lactobacillus sp.
Lineage: Bacteria; Bacillati; Bacillota; Bacilli; Lactobacillales; Lactobacillaceae
Description: partial 16S ribosomal RNA
Rfam family: Bacterial small subunit ribosomal RNA
Source: RNAcentral